Molecule: long non-coding RNA, 2274 nt
Organism: Parasteatoda tepidariorum (common house spider)
Lineage: Eukaryota; Metazoa; Arthropoda; Arachnida; Araneae; Theridiidae
Source: RefSeq, a predicted model, not a curated record
AUGAUAGUUACAGUGGCAUCCUUCUACAAACACUAAAACGUCUUUCUGUGUUAAAUUUUGAAGUUUCAAGUCAAACUGUUUGAUGAAAUUCUAAGAAAUAAUCUUCAACAGUACCGUUAAGUUUUGGGGGGUUGGAAUGAACAAAUGCCCAUAUGAAUACUGUUAUCACCGUAUGGGGUGGAAAUUUUUUUUUGAAGGGGACUUGCUUUUUUUCCUCUUAGAAAAUAGUUUUGUUUAAAUAACAAACGAACUGUAUGUUUGAAGUCUUAUUGACACAAAGAUACAUUGAUUUAUUUUGGUUUUUGCUACUCCUCCAAAAAGUAACCAUAAAGAAGAAACGAAGAAAACGCUGUUUCUCUUUUUAUUCGUGGAGACCUGGACUAAUGUGCAUAGAUUGAGAUUCCUUAUUUAUGAAACUACGUUUAAGAAGAUUUUUGAAAAAAGUGGCUGAGCGGUUAGUAUGCUUGUCUGUGAAGCCAAUAUCUGCAGGUUUGAAUCCCGGUCAGAGCAUGGAAGUUUAUCUCAGUGUGUUGCCUUCUGUAAUGUGUGAAUGUGAUCCACCCUAUGAAUGGGUAUCAUUGGCAGUGUGGCUCCUCCGUGACUUAGGUCACAAAGCUCUCACCAGGUAACGCAAAAUGAGCAACACUUCCAGUACUUUCCAUGGUGAAUAUCUGGCGAUAAAAAAAGAGUUGUUUAUUAAAAUUAUUUAGCUACAAGGGAAAUUUAUUUCUAAUUCACGUAAGAAGCACUGCUCCUGCUCUUUCCAACAAUCAUAUCCCAUAAUUGCUUCUCACGUGCUUUUUGUUUUGUUUUUUUUGUUAAAAAUUUAUAUUUUUACAAAACCAAACAACUCAUUGCUAUUUAUAAAGCAUAUAAUUAUUUUAACUUCAUGUAAAAACCUUUUCUCAAUAUAUUUAAGGAAGCAAAAUGUUAAUUGAACAAUUACCCAGUUUCGAAAAAUAACCAUCUGGGCAUAUGUAUAAGCAGUAUAAUGGAAAAACUUCUAUAUUAACACAUUUUCUGAUCCUUCUCAAACACUACUUAGAGAAUCAUUUCAAAAAUUUAAAAGUAUUUAGUGUUUAGGAUACGGAAUUUCUCAUACUUAUCAAUGAAAUUUAAAGCUUUUGGGGGUAUUGAGAGAGACAGACAAAAAAGUUACAAAUGGAAAGAGUGUUUUGGAACACCCAAAAUCAGUAAUACAUCUCAAAUAUCAUUUAAAUUGCUUCCCAACAUAAAAUUUUAAAUAAAAUUAGAAUAAAUACGUUUUAAGUCUUAGCGUUUUUUAAUAUCCAAGGAAACCAAGAUAUGAAUGGAAAUUAGACUCAGUUUGGCUACACCUUUUUAAGGAUGAUGCAAAUUUGAACGAUAUUUAGUUUCAAUGUACUCUAAAAUAUCUAUCAUUGUACUUUGUUAAAAUACAAUGAUAAUAAGCUUUAUUAAAAUAAUAAAUUUAAAAAAUAUUAAAUUGCGAAAAAAUAUAAGUCAAAGAGAAAUAUGUUCAAACGUAUAUAAAGUCAAAUAAUUACUAUUAAAAAAUUUAAAUAUUGAUUCAUUUUUAAUGAUAAGAACAAUUUUUUUGCAAGAAAAUAAAUAAUAAAAAUAAUGAAAACAUCGCAAUUACCACACUUUUAUCAAUUACGUAUUUCAUAUAUCUUAUUUUUCGUUAAAAAUUAAAUCUUUUAAAACAAAAGAGUAAGACCAAAAACUUUUAGUAAAAACCAUUAUUCAUUCUUCUUUUAAACUAUUUUACAUGUUUAAGCACAACAAAAUGCCGGUAUAAUUUACCUUUCUUCAAUGACGUGCGCUGCAAACUUAUUUUAUUUACGAAACGUUAAAAAAUAGAUAAAUUUAUUUUCGUAAAUAAGCCCUGUUCAACGUAAUGAUCUUAUCUAGGAGCGAAAGGGCUGUUAUAACAUUAUCUAAACAACAACAAGAAAUGAAUAUUUCAACAACUCCAGGAAGAAUGGAAAGGAUAAAACAAGGGGAAAAUAUUGGACGGUAAUAAAAGUGCCAGAGAAUAAAAAGAGGCCAGGAAAUUGUUUACUCUUUAAAGUCAUUUAUCACGUUUAUGUUUCAGUAUGUGUUUAGAAUAGUGCUUUUUUUUUUCCUUAAAAAUUUCAGCAACAGUGUAAUAUCUGCAUAAAAUUGCGUUGAUGAUAUCAAGCUUAGAGAAAAUGUAAUUAAAAAUUAAAUGAGUUUUCCUGUGAUGUGUUUAGUUUUGUGUUUAUGUUAUUAGUUUUAUUUUCCUUGAAAAUAAAGUGUUAGUUAUUUUCU